UGCGUAGGCGGAAAAUUAAGUCAGUGGUGAAGUCCUGCAGCUUAACUGUAGAACUGUCAUUGAUACUGAUUUUCUUGAAUAUAGUUGAGGUAGGCGGAAUGUGUAAUGUAGCGGUGAAAUGCUUAGAUAUUACACAGAACACCGAUUGCGAAGGCAGCUUACUAAGCUAUUAUUGACGCUGAGGCACGAAAGCGUGGGGAGCGAACAGGAUUAGAUACCCUGGUAGUCC
This 229-nucleotide ribosomal RNA is filed under the name uncultured bacterium. RNAcentral describes it as "partial 16S ribosomal RNA". It matches the Rfam family "Bacterial small subunit ribosomal RNA", at positions 568 to 796 of the family's 1533-position model. The record is from RNAcentral.